GUAGCUUAAACCACUAAAGCAUAACACUGAAAAUGUUAAAAUGGACAACCA
Molecule: transfer RNA, 51 nt
Filed under: Osteolaemus tetraspis (dwarf crocodile)
Lineage: Eukaryota; Metazoa; Chordata; Crocodylia; Crocodylidae
Description: partial tRNA-Phe
Source: RNAcentral